CCCUCCUCGUAGGUGCUCCUGUGAGGAGGCGGCUGAAAGCGACGCUGCCCCCAGGAAAGCGUCAAUGGCGUGAGGGAGCCCCAGCACUCCCAGCUCUGCUCCGAAGGAGCGAUUUGUGUAGGUACAGGAACAGUUCCCAGCGCAGCCCAAGCCGCAGGUGAGGAGCCCCACAGCAGUGAUAUGAAAUACCCAGGGGUCAGGACACUGAAGUGACAAUGUGGUUGCUGCAAAAAAGAACUGUUUUCAAUGUCUGUGGGAACAGGACAAACAGCAAUGGAUUCAAGUAGCAGCAAAGAAAACUCUUUUUCUUCAGACAUGAGCAGGAGGAAGAAAGUUUUGCCGGAGGAGAAAAAUGCUCUACUUACACAGUAGCUGGUACUGACCAACACAAGAAAGACUAUAUGUUGUAUCCUGGCAUUUCAGCAAUGAAUGAUAAAUUCUGUCAUCCACAUUACAAGGAGGUGUUGGAAAGACGGUGCGUACAAGCAGGCAUGUCCAGGAGAGUGCCAGCAGGGCUGCAGAUCCACUGCUCUUACUGU
Long non-coding RNA from Vidua macroura (Pin-tailed whydah), 539 nucleotides. RefSeq lists it as uncharacterized. The transcript has 4 exons. NCBI's taxonomy places the organism in Eukaryota, Metazoa, Chordata, Aves, Passeriformes, Viduidae. The record is from RefSeq and is a predicted model, not a curated record.